UGUACCCCCUGAUACUGGCAAUUUCGAUCCAAGGAAAUGUAGAACUCCGGUUAACCCAGUGAAACCAUGGAUGGCGUACUUCAACUUAAUCAGGCUUGGCUUUGGUCCUGGUUUUCUCGGCAUUCCGUUAGCAGUCAGUCAAGCUGGGAUAGUUAUGGGCCCUAUAAUAUGUAUUGCUGUCGGUUUUACUUUAAUGCAUACGCAAAUCAUGUUGCUCAACUGUUUAAACGAAGUAAGUCGUCAAUUAGGAGUACCCAGAGUUUCCUACAGACAUGGAUUUCGCUUAUGUCUACUGCACGGGCCACCUAUUUUCCAUGGCUUAGGAC
Hyposmocoma kahamanoa is the source of this 326-nucleotide long non-coding RNA. RefSeq lists it as uncharacterized. Lineage: Eukaryota; Metazoa; Arthropoda; Insecta; Lepidoptera; Cosmopterigidae. The record is from RefSeq and is a predicted model, not a curated record. The transcript is spliced from 3 exons.